This 74-nucleotide transfer RNA is filed under the name Candidatus Pacearchaeota archaeon. RNAcentral's name for it is "tRNA-Arg". It matches the Rfam family "tRNA". Rfam says of the family: Transfer RNA (tRNA) molecules are approximately 80 nucleotides in length. Lineage: Archaea; Nanobdellati. The record is from RNAcentral.
GGGCCCAUAGUUCAGCCUGGAUAGAACACGCGGCUUCGGACCGCGAGACAGGGGUUCAAAUCCUCUUGGGCCCA